GUCCUCGUGUUGCAUUCC
This 18-nucleotide small nuclear RNA is filed under the name Arabidopsis thaliana (thale cress). RNAcentral's name for it is "snRNA_04375". The record is from RNAcentral. Lineage: Eukaryota; Viridiplantae; Streptophyta; Magnoliopsida; Brassicales; Brassicaceae.